UCAAAUUUGAAAUCUGGCGCCUUCGGUGUCCGAGUUGUAAUUUGAAGAUUGUAACCUUGGGGUUGGCUCUUGUCUAUGUUUCUUGGAACAGGACGUCACAGAGGGUGAGAAUCCCGUGCGAUGAGAUGCCCAAUUCUAUGUAAGGUGCUUUCGAAGAGUCGAGUUGUUUGGGAAUGCAGCUCUAAGUGGGUGGUAAAUUCCAUCUAAAGCUAAAUAUUGGCGAGAGACCGAUAGCGAACAAGUACAGUGAUGGAAAGAUGAAAAGAACUUUGAAAAGAGAGUGAAAAAGUACGUGAAAUUGUUGAAAGGGAAGGGUUUGAGAUCAGACUCGAUAUUUUGUGAGCCUUGCCUUCGUGGCGGGGUGACCCGCAGCUUAUCGGGCCAGCAUCGGUUUGGGCGGUAGGAUAAUGGCGUAGGAAUGUGACUUUACUUCGGUGAAGUGUUAUAGCCUGCGUUGAUGCUGCCUGCCUAGACCG
Molecule: ribosomal RNA, 476 nt
Filed under: Meyerozyma guilliermondii
Lineage: Eukaryota; Fungi; Ascomycota; Pichiomycetes; Serinales; Debaryomycetaceae
Description: LSU rRNA
Rfam family: Eukaryotic large subunit ribosomal RNA
Source: RNAcentral